This 1372-nucleotide ribosomal RNA is filed under the name uncultured bacterium. RNAcentral describes it as "bacterial SSU rRNA". It matches the Rfam family "Bacterial small subunit ribosomal RNA", at positions 28 to 1381 of the family's 1533-position model. The record is from RNAcentral.
GAUGAACGCUGGCGGCGUGCCUAAUACAUGCAAGUCGAGCGAACGGACGAGAAGCUUGCUUCUCUGAUGUUAGCGGCGGACGGGUGAGUAACACGUGGAUAACCUACCUAUAAGACUGGGAUAACUUCGGGAAACCUGAGCUAAUACCGGAUAAUAUUUUGAACCGCAUGGUUCAAAAGUGAAAGACGGUCUUGCUGUCACUUAUAGAUGGAUCCGCGCUGCAUUAGCUAGUUGGUAAGGUAACGGCUUACCAAGGCAACGAUGCAUAGCCGACCUGAGAGGGUGAUCGGCCACACUGGAACUGAGACACGGUCCAGACUCCUACGGGAGGCAGCAGUAGGGAAUCUUCCGCAAUGGGCGAAAGCCUGACGGAGCAACGCCGCGUGAGUGAUGAAGGUCUUCGGAUCGUAAAACUCUGUUAUUAGGGAAGAACAUAUGUGUAAGUAACUGUGCACAUCUUGACGGUACCUAAUCAGAAAGCCACGGCUAACUACGUGCCAGCAGCCGCGGUAAUACGUAGGUGGCAAGCGUUAUCCGGAAUUAUUGGGCGUAAAGCGCGCGUAGGCGGUUUUUUAAGUCUGAUGUGAAAGCCCACGGCUCAACCGUGGAGGGUCAUUGGAAACUGGAAAACUUGAGUGCAGAAGAGGAAAGUGGAAUUCCAUGUGUAGCGGUGAAAUGCGCAGAGAUAUGGAGGAACACCAGUGGCGAAGGCGACUUUCUGGUCUGUAACUGACGCUGAUGUGCGAAAGCGUGGGGAUCAAACAGGAUUAGAUACCCUGGUAGUCCACGCCGUAAACGAUGAGUGCUAAGUGUUAGGGGGUUUCCGCCCCUUAGUGCUGCAGCUAACGCAUUAAGCACUCCGCCUGGGGAGUACGACCGCAAGGUUGAAACUCAAAGGAAUUGACGGGGACCCGCACAAGCGGUGGAGCAUGUGGUUUAAUUCGAAGCAACGCGAAGAACCUUACCAAAUCUUGACAUCCUUUGACAACUCUAGAGAUAGAGCCUUCCCCUUCGGGGGACAAAGUGACAGGUGGUGCAUGGUUGUCGUCAGCUCGUGUCGUGAGAUGUUGGGUUAAGUCCCGCAACGAGCGCAACCCUUAAGCUUAGUUGCCAUCAUUAAGUUGGGCACUCUAAGUUGACUGCCGGUGACAAACCGGAGGAAGGUGGGGAUGACGUCAAAUCAUCAUGCCCCUUAUGAUUUGGGCUACACACGUGCUACAAUGGACAAUACAAAGGGCAGCGAAACCGCGAGGUCAAGCAAAUCCCAUAAAGUUGUUCUCAGUUCGGAUUGUAGUCUGCAACUCGACUACAUGAAGCUGGAAUCGCUAGUAAUCGUAGAUCAGCAUGCUACGGUGAAUACGUUCCCGGGUCU